UACAGAGGGGGCAAGCGUUGUUCGGAAUUAUUGGGCGUAAAGGGUGCGUAGGCGGUGCGGUAAGUCUUCUGUGAAAUCUACGGGCUUAACUCGUAGUCUGCAGGAGAAACUGCCGUGCUUGAGUAUGGGGAGGGGUGAGUGGAAUUCCUGGUGUAGCGGUGAAAUGCGUAGAUAUCAGGAGGAACACCUGUGGCGAAGGCGGUUCUCUGGGCCUUACCUGACGCUGAGGAGCGAAAGCGUGGGGAGCGAACGGG
RNAcentral lists this ribosomal RNA (254 nucleotides) under uncultured bacterium. RNAcentral describes it as "partial 16S ribosomal RNA". It matches the Rfam family "Bacterial small subunit ribosomal RNA", at positions 524 to 776 of the family's 1533-position model. The record is from RNAcentral.